This is a long non-coding RNA of Coregonus clupeaformis (lake whitefish), 154 nucleotides long. RefSeq lists it as uncharacterized. NCBI's taxonomy places the organism in Eukaryota, Metazoa, Chordata, Actinopteri, Salmoniformes, Salmonidae. The record is from RefSeq and is a predicted model, not a curated record. The transcript has 3 exons.
UGUAUAAGGAAGUAGAGGAAGAAAUGGACGUUAUGGGUAGAAGACAAAAACAUCGGAGGUAGUAUCAGGAAGUAGAGGAAGAAAUGGACCUUACAGGUAGAAGACAAAAACAUCGGAGCAGAGACCAUGGUGGAGAGUGUUGUAUCAAGCCUGG